GAGCAACGCCGCGUGAGUGAAGAAGGGUUUCGGCUCGUAAAGCUCUGUUGUUAAAGAAGAACGUGGGUGAGAGUAACUGUUCACCCAGUGACGGUAUUUAACCAGAAAGCCACGGCUAACUACGUGCCAGCAGCCGCGGUAAUACGUAGGUGGCAAGCGUUAUCCGGAUUUAUUGGGCGUAAAGCGAGCGCAGGCGGUCUUUUAAGUCUAAUGUGAAAGCCUUCGGCUCAACCGAAGAAGUGCAUUGGAAACUGGGAGACUUGAGUGCAGAAGAGGACAGUGGAACUCCAUGUGUAGCGGUGAAAUGCGUAGAUAUAUGGAAGAACACCAGUGGCGAAGGCGGCUGUCUGGUCUGUAACUGACGCUGAGGCUCGAAAGCAUGGGUAGCGAACAGGAUUAGAUACCCUGGUAGUCCAUGCCGUAAACGAUGAUUACUAAGUGUUGGAGGGUUUCCGCCCUUCAGUGCUGCAGCUAACGCAUUAAGUAAUCCGCCUGGGGAGUACGACCGCAAGGUUGAAACUCAAAAGAAUUGACGGGGGCCCGCACAAGCGGUGGAGCAUGUGGUUUAAUUCGAAGCUACGCGAAGAACCUUACCAGGUCUUGACAUCUUCUGCCAACCUAAGAGAUUAGGCGUUCCCUUCGGGGACAGAAUGACAGGUGGUGCAUGGUUGUCGUCAGCUCGUGUCGUGAGAUGUUGGGUUAAGUCCCGCAACGAGCGCAACCCUUAUUACUAGUUGCCAGCAUUCAGUUGGGCACUCUAGUGAGACUGCCGGUGACAAACCGGAGGAAGGUGGGGACGACGUCAAAUCAUCAUGCCCCUUAUGACCUGGGCUACACACGUGCUACAAUGGAUGGUACAACGAGUCGCGAAACCGCGAGGUUUAGCUAAUCUCUUAAAACCAUUCUCAGUUCGGACUGUAGGCUGCAACUCGCCUACACGAAGUCGGAAUCGCUAGUAAUCGCGGAUCAGCAUGCCGCGGUGAAUACGUUCCCGGGCCUUGUACACACCGCCCGUCACACCAUGAGAGUUUGUAACACCCAAAGCCGGUGGGGUAACCUUUUAGGAGCUAG
This 1071-nucleotide ribosomal RNA is filed under the name Pediococcus acidilactici. Its description in RNAcentral is "bacterial SSU rRNA". It matches the Rfam family "Bacterial small subunit ribosomal RNA", at positions 389 to 1452 of the family's 1533-position model. Lineage: Bacteria; Bacillati; Bacillota; Bacilli; Lactobacillales; Lactobacillaceae. The record is from RNAcentral.